GUGAACCUUUACUAUAGCUUGACACUGAACAUUGAGCCUUGAUGUGUAGGAUAGGUGGGAGGCUUUGAAGUGUGGACGCCAGUCUGCAUGGAGCCGACCUUGAAAUACCACCCUUUAAUGUUUGAUGUUCUAACGUGGACCCGUUACCCGGGUUGCGGACAGUGUCUGGUGGGUAGUUUGACUGGGGCGGUCUCCUCCUAAAGAGUAACGGAGGAGCACGAAGGUUGGCUAAUCCUGGUCGGACAUCAGGAGGUUAGUGCAAUGGCAUAAGCCAGCUUGACUGCGAGCGUGACGGCGCGAGCAGGUGCGAAAGCAGGUCAUAGUGAUCCGGUGGUUCUGAAUGGAAGGGCCAUCGCUCAACGGAUAAAAGGUACUCCGGGGAUAACAGGCUGAUACCGCCCAAGAGUUCAUAUCGACGGCGGUGUUUGGCACCUCGAUGUCGGCUCAUCACAUCCUGGGGCUGAAGUAGGUCCCAAGGGUAUGGCUGUUCGCCAUUUAAAGUGGUACGCGAGCUGGGUUUAGAACGUCGUGAGACAGUUCGGUCCCUAUCUGCCGUGGGCGCUGGAGAACUGAGGGGGGCUGCUCCUAGUACGAGAGGACCGGAGUGGACGCAUCACUGGUGUUCGGGUUGUCAUGCCAAUGGCACUGCCCGGUAGCUAAAUGCGGAAGAGAUAAGUGCUGAAAGCAUCUAAGCACGAAACUUGCCCCGAGAUGAGUUCUCCCUGAGACUUAGAGUCUCCUGAAGGAACGUUGAAGACGACGACGUUGAUAGGC
Molecule: ribosomal RNA, 774 nt
Filed under: Salmonella enterica subsp. enterica serovar Enteritidis
Lineage: Bacteria; Pseudomonadati; Pseudomonadota; Gammaproteobacteria; Enterobacterales; Enterobacteriaceae
Description: partial 23S ribosomal RNA
Rfam family: Bacterial large subunit ribosomal RNA
Source: RNAcentral